RNAcentral lists this non-coding RNA (223 nucleotides) under unclassified sequences. RNAcentral's name for it is "IS605-orfB-I RNA". It matches the Rfam family "IS605-orfB-I RNA". The record is from Rfam by way of RNAcentral.
GCCUUAUACAGAUAUAGUGACGCAAGACAGUGGCGUAUCUCCCUGUAAGGUGGUGUUAAACAUAGAAGUAUGAGUGACAAAUUCUAUUGUGUGGCUUCUGAGUCGAAAUAGAAUGAGCUUAUACGGAAUGGGUUAACCGUAAGACCUUGAAUUGAAAACUUCUAAAAUCGACCUAGUGAUACGAAAAUAAUUCUCGAUUUUCAUUAUUUCUAGUUACGGUGGA